GAUGAACGCUGGCGGCGUGCCUAAUACAUGCAAGUCGAGCGAACGGACGAGAAGCCUGCUUCUCUGAUGUUAGCGGCGGACGGGUGAGUAACACGUGGAUAACCUACCUAUAAGACUGGGAUAACUUCGGGAAACCGUAGCUAAUACCGGAUAAUAUUUUGAACCGCAUGGUUCAAAAGUGAAAGACGGUCUUGCUGUCACUUGUAGAUGGAUCCGCGCUGCAUUAGCUAGUUGGUAAGGUAACGGCUUACCAAGGCAACGAUGCAUAGCCGACCUGAGAGGGUGAUCGGCCACACUGGAACUGAGACACGGUCCAGACUCCUACGGGAGGCAGCAGUAGGGAAUCUUCCGCAAUGGGCGAAAGCCUGACGGAGCAACGCCGCGUGAGUGAUGAAGGUCUUCGGAUCGUAAAACUCUGUUAUUAGGGAAGAACAUAUGUGUAAGUAACUGUGCACAUCUUGACGGUACCUAAUCAGAAAGCCACGGCUAACUACGUG
RNAcentral lists this ribosomal RNA (497 nucleotides) under uncultured bacterium. RNAcentral describes it as "partial 16S ribosomal RNA". It matches the Rfam family "Bacterial small subunit ribosomal RNA", at positions 28 to 507 of the family's 1533-position model. The record is from RNAcentral.